Molecule: long non-coding RNA, 1085 nt
Organism: Armigeres subalbatus
Lineage: Eukaryota; Metazoa; Arthropoda; Insecta; Diptera; Culicidae
Exons: 2
Source: RefSeq, a predicted model, not a curated record
UUUUGGCCUCCGGUUCGGUUUUGUAUUGAUUUAUUUAAUAACUAUUACCGGUGAAUUCGCGGAGAAAAUUGUUGAUUGUUGUUAAAGUUUACGUGUGAUUCGAAAGUUUGGAACGGAAUAAGGAAUCCGGUUGCAUUCUGCCACACUGUAUUGGUCUGAGAAAGACUUUGCAAGUGGUGACCUUAUCACAUACGCUGCUCGCUAGCUCGGAAGUAACCGGAGAUAAACGGAUAUUGGUCAUCUGUCCCGAGAUCUGUCCGCUACAGUCGACUGUACUUGGGUUAAUGAGCUCCGGAUCUGGAUGAAACUUGUGAAGAAGGGCUAGGGCUUGUUUGCCAUUGCCGGGGCGGACGAUUUUAAGCGUUUUCCAUCGUCGAUCAAAAUCUUGAAACCACUGGCGCCUUCUCGGAAUCUCUCAUCUUGGACCAAACAACCGCUGGACAAACACGCCGUUGUCGCUACCUCACAGCUUUCUCGUCAUGAUCGAUUACAAUCGAUUACGAUUCCAUUUUAAGCGCAAAAUUAUGAUCGCCAACAAUACUAACGAACGCGGCUCUCAUCACCAAAACAGUCACUAACGUCGAUUCCGCAAUGCACGACCACAAAUCAACCGGCUCAGGCGCAAAUCAACUGAAACAAGGGUGAACUCGAAUUAGUCAAGUACAUCCGGAUGAAGUCGCGACGGAUUGGCAAGGCCAUUAUGACUAUUCGCUUAUUGCAACUAGACAGCCAAUGGACUUCAAAUCGGGCAUGAAGCUGGGGGUGGUGGAUCGCUAGAAUCAAAUGCUCAUUCGGCCGACAACGGACGUGGCCACGGACGGGUGCAACAUUAAAAUAUGCUUCAAUGAUUGACCAAAUUUUACCACUUACUCUUCUGGAUCGAGGACUAUAGCUUGGACAUUCACCCGAUGAACUGGUGUAAGAGGACCUACCGUACAAUCGAAUUUUCAUGAGAUCAUCGACCUGCGUGUAUUAAAAGCAUCUGUAAAGUUUUAUUCUGCCUGGGAAAGGGGAAUGUCAAAUUUCUAUUUAUUAAAACGUCAAACCAAGAAUAUUAAAAAUAAAAUCGGGAAUUCCUUCGAAAA